UACGGAGGAGGCAAGCGGUAUCCGGAAUUAUUGGGCGUAAAGCGUCCGUAUGUGGUUGGCCAAGUCUGCUGUCAAAGGGUGGGGCUUAACCUCAUAAAGGCAGUGGAAACUGGCGAGCUAGAGUGCGGUAGGGGUAGGGGGAAUUCCCAGUGUAGCGGUGAAAUGCGUAGAUAUUGGGAAGAACAUCGGUGGCGAAAGCGCCCUGCUGGGCCUGCACUGACACUGAGGGACGAAAGAUAGGGGAGCGAAAGGG
RNAcentral lists this ribosomal RNA (253 nucleotides) under uncultured bacterium. Its description in RNAcentral is "partial 16S ribosomal RNA". It matches the Rfam family "Bacterial small subunit ribosomal RNA", at positions 524 to 776 of the family's 1533-position model. The record is from RNAcentral.